RNAcentral lists this ribosomal RNA (556 nucleotides) under uncultured bacterium. RNAcentral's name for it is "bacterial SSU rRNA". It matches the Rfam family "Bacterial small subunit ribosomal RNA", at positions 353 to 896 of the family's 1533-position model. The record is from RNAcentral.
GUNNGGGAAUUCUUCGGCCAUGGACGGAAGUCUGACCGAGCAACGCCGCGUGAGUGAAGAAGGUUUUCGGAUCGUAAAGCUCUGUUGUAAGAGAAGAACGAGUGUGAGAGUGGAAAGUUCACACUGUGACGGUAUCUUACCAGAAAGGGACGGCUAACUACGUGCCAGCAGCCGCGGUAAUACGUAGGUCCCGAGCGUUGUCCGGAUUUAUUGGGCGUAAAGCGAGCGCAGGCGGUUAGAUAAGUCUGAAGUUAAAGGCUGUGGCUUAACCAUAGUACGCUUUGGAAACUGUUUAACUUGAGUGCAAGAGGGGAGAGUGGAAUUCCAUGUGUAGCGGUGAAAUGCGUAGAUAUAUGGAGGAACACCGGUGGCGAAAGCGGCUCUCUGGCUUGUAACUGACGCUGAGGCUCGAAAGCGUGGGGAGCAAACAGGAUUAGAUACCCUGGUAGUCCACGCCGUAAACGAUGAGUGCUUAGGUGUUAGACCCUUUCCGGGGUUUAGUGCCGCAGCUAACGCAUUAAGCACUCCGCCUGGGGAGUACGACCCGCAAGGGUUG